Molecule: small RNA, 1727 nt
Filed under: Pan troglodytes (chimpanzee)
Lineage: Eukaryota; Metazoa; Chordata; Mammalia; Primates; Hominidae
Description: retained intron
Source: RNAcentral
ACACACACAAGCUAAGACAUAUGGUUCUAUCUUCAGAAAACAAUAUGGUGUUUAGAGCCUAGAUACGUAGGUAACCUUUCCAGAGAUGUGACAGAAGUCCUUAUACUUCAGUUGUUCAGUCAGAUUGGACCCUGUAAAAGCUGUAAAAUGAUAACAGAGCAUACAAGCAAUGACCCAUAUUGCUUUGUGGAAUUUUAUGAACACAGAGAUGCAGCUGCUGCAUUAGCUGCUAUGAAUGGGAGAAAAAUUUUGGGAAAGGAGGUCAAAGUAAACUGGGCAACCACACCAAGUAGCCAGAAAAAAGAUACUUCCAAUCACUUCCAUGUGUUUGUUGGGGAUUUGAGUCCAGAAAUUACAACAGAAGAUAUCAAAUCAGCAUUUGCCCCCUUUGGUAAAAUAUCGGAUGCCCGGGUAGUUAAAGACAUGGCAACUGGAAAAUCCAAAGGCUAUGGUUUUGUAUCUUUUUAUAACAAACUGGAUGCAGAAAAUGCGAUUGUGCAUAUGGGCGGUCAGUGGUUGGGUGGUCGUCAAAUCCGAACCAAUUGGGCCACACGUAAACCACCUGCACCUAAAAGCACACAAGAAAACAACACUAAGCAGUUGAGAUUUGAAGAUGUAGUAAACCAGUCAAGUCCAAAAAAUUGUACUGUGUACUGUGGAGGAAUUGCGUCUGGGUUAACAGAUCAGCUUAUGAGACAGACAUUCUCACCAUUUGGACAAAUUAUGGAAAUAAGAGUUUUCCCAGAAAAGGGCUAUUCAUUUGUCAGAUUUUCAACCCAUGAAAGUGCAGCCCAUGCCAUUGUUUCGGUGAACGGUACUACGAUUGAAGGACAUGUGGUUAAAUGCUAUUGGGGUAAAGAAUCUCCUGAUAUGACUAAAAACUUCCAACAGGUAAUUCGAUUUUUCAUAGCAUUCUUUAAGGUUUCCAUCUUACAUGUCACAUAAAAGCUUUGGAAACUCUGUAAAAUAAACAAUAAAAUAAAGCAUAUAGCUACUUUCAGUUGAUUGUAUUUCAAAAUUGAUUAUUUGCGGUAUUAACUGAAUCUUAAUACUUUCUUUUCACAGGUGUCACCACCCCAAUAAACUUAGACAAUGAUAAAUAACAGAGUCCUAUUCACAUAAGGGUGCUUACUUAGUUUUUCUCUUCCUUGUCUCCCACUCUUUCUUCAUAUACGGUGUUUCUUAUGUGUUCCCUAAAACAAUACUUUGCUUUUUCCUAGGUUGACUAUAGUCAGUGGGGCCAAUGGAGCCAAGUGUAUGGAAACCCACAACAGUAUGGACAGUAUAUGGCAAAUGGGUGGCAAGUACCGCCUUAUGGAGUAUACGGGCAACCAUGGAAUCAACAAGGAUUUGGAGUAGAUCAAUCACCUUCUGCUGCUUGGAUGGGUGGAUUUGGUGCUCAGCCUCCCCAAGGACAAGCUCCUCCCCCUGUAAUACCUCCUCCUAACCAAGCCGGAUAUGGUAUGGCAAGUUACCAAACACAGUGAGCCGGGACUCUAAAAAAAAAUUGUAAUUCAUGAUAGGCUUCGAUUUCCUGUGACACUCUGAAGACAUGAAAGUAGACAUCGGAAAAUGAAAAUAUUUAUUUUAAAAAUUGAAAUGUUUGGAACCUUUAGCACAGAUUUGCUUUGGUGAAGGACACAUGUCUUCUAGUUCUGCCUUUUUAAGUUUUUGUUCAUGAUGGAUAUGAACAUGAUUUUUCUUUGUGUACAAAAACUAAAAUAAAG